AUAAAAAMCCAACGCCYUUCGGGGCUUCUUGGUGAUUCAUGAUAACUUUCACGGAUCGCAUGGCCUUGCGCCGGCGACGGUUCAUUCAAAUUUCUGCCCUAUCAACUUUCGAUGGUAAGGUAUUGGCUUACCAUGGUUUCAACGGGUAACGGGGAAUUAGGGUUCGAUUCCGGAGAGGGAGCCUGAGAAACGGCUACCACAUCCAAGGAAGGCAGCAGGCGCGCAAAUUACCCAAUCCCGACACGGGGAGGUAGUGACAAUAAAUACUGAUACAGGGCUCUUUUGGGUCUUGUAAUUGGAAUGAGUACAAUUUAAACCUCUUAACGAGGAACAAUUGGAGGGCAAGUCUGGUGCCAGCAGCCGCGGUAAUUCCAGCUCCAAUAGCGUAUAUUAAAGUUGUUGCAAGUUAAAAAGCUCGUAGUUGAAACUUGGGCCUGGCUGGCARGUCCGCCUCACCGCGUGUACUUGUCCGGCCGGGCCUUUCCUUCCUGGAAGAACCUCAUGCCCUUCACUGGGUGUGUU
This 522-nucleotide ribosomal RNA is filed under the name fungal clone UUF-10. Its description in RNAcentral is "SSU rRNA". It matches the Rfam family "Eukaryotic small subunit ribosomal RNA", at positions 216 to 736 of the family's 1831-position model. The record is from RNAcentral. Lineage: Eukaryota; Fungi.